GAAGUAGGGAGUUUGAUAUUCACUUGAUGACAUACAUACAUGUUCAGGAUUGACAGACUCGUGACACCCAUCUGGUGGAAUCACAGAGUCAUCCUUGCUCCCACUGGAACUACACAAAUCAAGUUGGUGAAUGACGUCACGGAUAGCGAUUUUGUAUUUCAUGAUCUGUUUCUUAGCACGCUGUAGCUCCUUCUCUGGCUUUAUUUUCUCUCGACUGUUAGGAAAGGCACACCCUUUAGUAAGUAUAGUAUAAAUAGCAUACUAUUAGUUGGAUUUGAAUAUUUCUAUAGUCAAAACUCAGAAGCUUACAACAGUAAGAGAGAAGCAGUGCAUACCUGUGCCCAUUCCAACCAUCUCCAGAGUAUGCAUCUAGCA
Molecule: small RNA, 375 nt
Filed under: Oryza sativa Japonica Group (Japanese rice)
Lineage: Eukaryota; Viridiplantae; Streptophyta; Magnoliopsida; Poales; Poaceae
Description: sRNA Os02g0147850
Source: RNAcentral